RNAcentral lists this ribosomal RNA (899 nucleotides) under uncultured archaeon. Its description in RNAcentral is "bacterial SSU rRNA". It matches the Rfam family "Archaeal small subunit ribosomal RNA", at positions 1 to 906 of the family's 1478-position model. The record is from RNAcentral.
UUCCGGUUGAUCCCGCCAGACCUGACUGCUAUCGGAUUGAUACUAAGCCAUGCGAGUCUUUGUAGUAAUACAAGGCAGACGGCUCAGUAACGCGUAGUCAACCUACCCUAUGGACGGGAAUAACCUCGGGAAACUGAGUAUAAUGCCCGAUAGAACAUUAUGCCUGGAAUGGGUUUAUGUUCCAAAUGAUUUAUCGCCGUAGGAUGGGACUGCGGCCUAUCAGUUUGUUGGUGGGGUAAUGGCCCACCAAGACUAUUACAGGUACGGGCUCUGAGAGGAGUAGCCCGGAGAUGGGUACUGAGACACGGACCCAGGCCCUAUGGGGCGCAGCAGGCGAGAAAACUUUGCAAUGUGCGAAAGCACGACAAGGUUAAUCCGAGUGGUUUCUGCUAAAGAAACCUUUUGUUAGUCCUAAAAACACUAACGAAUAAGGGGUGGGCAAGUUCUGGUGUCAGCCGCCGCGGUAAAACCAGCACCUCAAGUGGUCAGGAUGAUUAUUGGGCCUAAAGCAUCCGUAGCCUGCUCUGUAAGUUUUCGGUUAAAUCUGUAUGCUCAACAUACAGGCUGCCGGGAAUACUGCAGAGCUAGGGAGUGGGAGAGGUAGACGGUACUCGGGAGGAAGUGGUAAAAUGCUUUGAUCUCUCGAUGACCACCUGUGGCGAAGGCGGUCUACCAGAACACGUCCGACGGUGAGGGAUGAAAGCUGGGGGAGCAAACCGGAUUAGAUACCCGGGUAGUCCCAGCUGUAAACUAUGCAAACUCAGUGAUGCAUUGGCUUAUGGCCAAUGCAGUGUUGCAGGGAAGCCGUUAAGUUUGCCGCCUGGGAAGUACGUACGCAAGUAUGAAACUUAAAGGAAUUGGCGGGGGAGCACCACAAGGGGUGAAGCCUGCGGUUCAAU